CGAGUCUCGGCCCUGGGAAGGACCAUUUUUAAAGACUCAUCUCUUGAAAUUGGAGCGAGCAUUUAGCAGUUUUCAUGCAAAUUUCCUGCAAUUCUACACAUUUUGCCAUUAGGGUAGAGAGAACUUAGCCGUUUUAAAGCUUACAUCUCAGUAAAUACAGUAUAUCACAAAAGUGAGUACACCCCUCACAUUUUUGUAAAUAUUUGAGUAUAUCUUUUCAUGUGACAACACUGAAGAAAUGACACUUUGCUACAAUGUAAAGUAGUGAGUGUACAGCUUGUAUAACAUAGUAAAUUUUCUGUCCCCAGAGUAGCAGGUAGGAGAGACACUCUGACUCUGUACCACACAGAGUAGCAGGUAGGAGAGACACUCUGGCUCUGUACCACACAGAGUAGCAGGUAGGGGGGGAGACACUCUGACUCUGUACCACACAGAGUAGCAGGUAGGAGAGACACUCUGGCUCUGUACCACACAGAGUAGCAGGUGGGAGGGAGACACUGACUCUGUACCACACAGAGUGGCAGGUAGGGGAGACACUC
Molecule: long non-coding RNA, 539 nt
Organism: Oncorhynchus tshawytscha (Chinook salmon)
Lineage: Eukaryota; Metazoa; Chordata; Actinopteri; Salmoniformes; Salmonidae
Source: Ensembl